CUGGCGGCGUGCUUAACACAUGCAAGUCGUACGAGAACUCUUCUGCUUGCAGAAGAUAGUAAAGUGGCGCACGGGUGAGUAACGCGUGGGUAAUCUACCUCUGAAUCGGGGAUAACCCGCCGAAAGGCGAGCUAAUACCGGAUAAUAUCUUUAAAACUUAGGUUUUUAAGAUCAAAGGUGGUCUCUACAUGUAAGCUACUGUUUGGAGAUGAGCCCGCGUACCAUUAGCUUGUUGGUAGGGUAAUGGCCUACCAAGGCCGCGAUGGUUAGCUGGUCUGAGAGGAUGAUCAGCCACACUGGAACUGACACACGGUCCAGACUCCUACGGGAGGCAGCAGUGAGGAAUUUUGCGCAAUGGGGGAAACCCUGACGCAGCAACGCCGCGUGAAUGAUGAAGGCUUUCGGGUCGUAAAGCUCUGUCAAGUGGGAAGAACUUGCUCGAUGUUAACACCAUCUAGCACUGACGGUACCACUAAAGGAAGCACCGGCUAACUCCGUGCCAGCAGCCGCGGUAAUACGGGGGGUGCAAGCGUUAUUCGGAAUUAUUGGGCGUAAAGGGCAGCGUAGGCGGUCUCUAAAGUCAGAUGUGAAAGCCCGGGGCUUAACCCCGGAAGUGCAUUUGAAACUCAGGGACUUGAGUAU
This 642-nucleotide ribosomal RNA is filed under the name uncultured Desulfobacterium sp. Its description in RNAcentral is "bacterial SSU rRNA". It matches the Rfam family "Bacterial small subunit ribosomal RNA", at positions 36 to 649 of the family's 1533-position model. The record is from RNAcentral. Lineage: Bacteria; Pseudomonadati; Thermodesulfobacteriota; Desulfobacteria; Desulfobacterales; Desulfobacteriaceae.